AUUUACUGCAAUGGAGCUUGAGCAAAGCCUGGGAUCAAGAGAAAAUAUAAAUAUACAGAAUAUAGGGGCACAUGUUUCUUUAGACCUAGAUGCGUAAAAGUUUUGCAUGCGUCUUUCCAGUCUACAUAUACACAAAAAAAACAUUGUCAGACAAUAAUUGCUUACCAAGUAGGGUGAAACUCAUCUCAGAUCCACAUCACUUUCAAAAUAUGACCUUUGGUUUUUAUAUUUUACUAUAAUCCAUUUUAAUGGGUCAAGCACAUGCAUGAUGAACGUUAUUAGAGAACAAUAAUGAGCUAUUUUUGAAGCAGGCAAUGUGUUGUUUAUCCUGUAAGCCGUAGGAAGGGGGAAUUUUCUGGAGUUCGUCAUGUAAUUAUCCAUUAGGUGUAAAUGGAGGGA
Molecule: unclassified non-coding RNA, 399 nt
Filed under: Hevea brasiliensis (rubber tree)
Lineage: Eukaryota; Viridiplantae; Streptophyta; Magnoliopsida; Malpighiales; Euphorbiaceae
Source: RNAcentral